Molecule: ribosomal RNA, 260 nt
Filed under: uncultured bacterium
Lineage: Bacteria
Description: partial 16S ribosomal RNA
Rfam family: Bacterial small subunit ribosomal RNA
Source: RNAcentral
UACGGAGGGUGCAAGCGUUAAUCGGAAUUACUGGGCGUAAAGCGCGCGUAGGUGGCUGCGUAAGUCGGAUGUGAAAGCCCCGGGCUUAACCUGGGAACUGCAUUCGAUACUGCGCGACUAGAGUAUGGUAGAGGGUAGUGGAAUUUCCUGUGUAGCGGUGAAAUACGUAGAUAUAGGAAGGAACACCAGUGGCGAAGGCGACUACCUGGACUGAUACUGACACUGAGGUGCGAAAGCGUGGGGAGCAAACAGGAUUAGAA